RNAcentral lists this ribosomal RNA (469 nucleotides) under uncultured bacterium. Its description in RNAcentral is "partial 16S ribosomal RNA". It matches the Rfam family "Bacterial small subunit ribosomal RNA", at positions 27 to 507 of the family's 1533-position model. The record is from RNAcentral.
GGACGAACGCUGGCGGCGUGCUUAACACAUGCAAGUCGAACGGAAAGGCCCUGCUUUUGUGGGGUGCUCGAGUGGCGAACGGGUGAGUAACACGUGAGUAACCUGCCCUUGACUUUGGGAUAACUUCAGGAAACUGGGGCUAAUACCGGAUAGGAGCUCCUGCUGCAUGGUGGGGGUUGGAAAGUUUCGGCGGUUGGGGAUGGACUCGCGGCUUAUCAGCUUGUUGGUGGGGUAGUGGCUUACCAAGGCUUUGACGGGUAGCCGGCCUGAGAGGGUGACCGGCCACAUUGGGACUGAGAUACGGCCCAGACUCCUACGGGAGGCAGCAGUGGGGAAUAUUGCACAAUGGGCGGAAGCCUGAUGCAGCAACGCCGCGUGCGGGAUGACGGCCUUCGGGUUGUAAACCGCUUUCGCCUGUGACGAAGCGUGAGUGACGAUAAUGGGUAAAGAAGCACCGGCUAACUACGUG